GAUGAAGAACGUAGUGAAAUGCGAUAAGUAGUGUGAAUUGCAGAAUUCAGUGAAUCAUCGAAUCUUUGAACGCACAUUGCGCCCUUUGGUAUUCCUUAGGGCAUGCCUGUUCGAGCGUCAUUUAAACCUUCAAGCUCAGCUUGGUGAUGGGUGACUGUCCUCCCCUCGCGGGGGGACUCGCCUCGAAAACAUUGGCGGCCGGUACAUUGGCUUCGAGCGCAGCAGAAACGCGGUCUCGAGUCCGGUGGAUCGGCUCCCAUAAGUCUAUUCUUUUAUUUUGACCUCGGAUCAGGUAGGGAUACCCGCUGAACUUAAGCAUAUCAAUAAGCGGAGGA
RNAcentral lists this unclassified non-coding RNA (335 nucleotides) under soil metagenome. RNAcentral describes it as "partial contains 5.8S ribosomal RNA, internal transcribed spacer 2, and large subunit ribosomal RNA". The stretch from base 1 to 120 matches the Rfam family "5.8S ribosomal RNA", at positions 35 to 154 of the family's 154-position model. The record is from RNAcentral.